GCUGAAGCAGAGUAUCUGCAUUUAAAAAUAGUGUCUGAGGUGCCAUUAAAAGGACAGGCCUGACAAAAGCACCGUGCCCUUUAUCUAAAAAGGAUUAGAAAAGAAAAGAAUGAAAAAGUUAUCUACUGAUACGAUAAGAUGCUGACAGAGAAAGUAUGAUUUACUACAUGAGUUACUGAAUGUAUUGAUUGGAGACUCGGGUAUGAUUUUAAAGUACACAAAAACAAAAACUUUCAGUAAAGUUAUUCUGACAGGACUGGAAGCCUUUUCAAAUUUGCAUGAAUCUCAUUUGGAUUUUGUCCUGUUAUUUGUGAUUAAACACUACUGGGAUGAAUUUAUUCAUUGUAAUCUAAAUUAAUCUUAAAUACCUGGCUCUGGAGAGGAGCUUGUGUACUUGAACUUCCCCCUGGAAUCAAUUGUCCUAUCUAGAUCAAGAAUACUACUUAUCCUAAUCUAAAAAAAAAAAAAAGUAUAAAAAAUAAAAAAUAAAUGUGAACAUUACAUUUGUUUCUGAAUUGCAGUGGGCAUGUAAGGCAGUAGGGCAAAGAAAAGUAGAGAGAUACUCAGUGAAGUACACCCUGUAGCCUGGACCUGUCGUUUUAGCACAUUACUUGCUCAAAGAGUCAUGGCGCAGGCCUCGUAGGGGCCAGUCAGGCCCCUCCUUCCUUUUACACUUGUAUGUCAUGUGCAUAUGAUUACACUUCUUUUACAUGUACGUCAAUGCGACAGAGAGAAACACAGGGCUUGUGGUGCUAUGACUUUAAGAGCAGCGGUGCAACUUUUCUGAGCUAUUAAAAACAAAACUGAGUCAUCACCGAGUCACACACAAAAAAAAAACCUUUAAGAAACGAAGCCGGCAACUCAACAUUUACACUAACAUGCUCUUCUAAACCGGCCCUCACGAGUUGCAAAUAUGCAUGCAGAUAUAAGUGUGGUUUUGGCCUGAAACAGUCAUUUGUGUAUCUCACAGCUCACUGUGCAGAAACAGUCUGGUUUCCACAGGUAGCUAAAUAAGUUCUUUUGACACAUCUCUUUGCUCAUCCUACCUAUUACCAUAUAAGGCCAUAGAAAUCCAUCUGAGCUGCAGAUGGCUUAAAAAGUGUAGACGCGGUUGUUCUCCAUAUAUGGACGUCAUGUGCCGCUCCCGUCUAUAACACCUGGGAGCCUCACCUGAGAAAGAUAAAAGAUAUCAAGCUUAACAAGACUAAAGCGCAUAGAAGUAAAAGUAACAAAGAAAACAAAAAACACUCACGUUGUGUGAGG
Molecule: long non-coding RNA, 1263 nt
Organism: Astatotilapia calliptera (eastern happy)
Lineage: Eukaryota; Metazoa; Chordata; Actinopteri; Cichliformes; Cichlidae
Source: Ensembl